AGUUGGUGAAAUGUUAGUAUUUGACCACUAGGCGGAGCUCUUGUAAUGAUAAUGUAAAUUAACACAUUUUAUUUUGUAUGUUUUAUUUUUGUGUUGAGCAUGUUAACAUUUUCCUAUUUGCGUACCGGAUUGGUGUAAAGUUAAUUUGAUACAUGGAAAAUAACCGGUUAAUUUUGUAAGUAUAAGGUAAGGGCAGAGGUCACUUCCUGUUUUGAGUAGUAAGGUGAGAGAAGCUGCUCAUGGUGACGGUCUAGCCGUGUGAAUGUUAAAGAAGAAAUAAGUCCUAAGUUCCAAUACACCGGUUUGUCUACUUGCAGGCCAAAGUGUUCUACGGUGUACCUGUGUACGUUAAAGAAGCACAGUAAACA
This is a long non-coding RNA of Oreochromis niloticus (Nile tilapia), 368 nucleotides long. RefSeq lists it as uncharacterized. The record is from RefSeq and is a predicted model, not a curated record. NCBI's taxonomy places the organism in Eukaryota, Metazoa, Chordata, Actinopteri, Cichliformes, Cichlidae. The transcript has 2 exons.